This 253-nucleotide ribosomal RNA is filed under the name uncultured bacterium. Its description in RNAcentral is "partial 16S ribosomal RNA". It matches the Rfam family "Bacterial small subunit ribosomal RNA", at positions 524 to 776 of the family's 1533-position model. The record is from RNAcentral.
UACGUAGGGUGCAAGCGUUAAUCGGAAUUACUGGGCGUAAAGCGUGCGCAGGCGGUCUUGUAAGACAGAGGUGAAAUCCCCGGGCUUAACCUGGGAACUGCCUUUGUGACUGCAAGGCUUGAGUACGGUAGAGGGGGAUGGAAUUCCGCGUGUAGCAGUGAAAUGCGUAGAUAUGCGGAGGAACACCGAUGGCGAAGGCAAUCCCCUGGACCUGUACUGACGCUCAUGCACGAAAGCGUGGGGAGCAAACAGG